AGUAGGAUAAGCUAAGCACACUGUUGGUUAUGUGUGCCCAAGCAUUGAGGCAGUCAAAGUAGGCAAAUCCGCUUUGAUAAUGCUGGGAUGUGAUGGGGAGCGAAAUUUAGUAGCGAAGUAGCUGAUUUCACACUGUCAAGAAAAGUCUCUAUCGAGGUUAAAGGUACCCGUACCGCAAACCGACACAGGUGGGUGAGGAGAGUAUCCUAAGGCCAGCGAGAGAACUGUUGUUAAGGAACUCGGCAAAAUGACCCCGUAACUUAGGGAUAAGGGGUGCCACCAUCAGGUGGCCGCAGAGAAUAGGCCCAAGCGACUGUUUACCAAAAACAUAGGUUUCUGCUAAGUCGCAAGACGAUGUAUAGGAGCUGACGCCUGCCCGGUGCUGGAAGGUUAAGGGGAUCUGUUAGAGCAAUCGAAGCAGUGAACUUAAGCCCCAGUAAACGGCGGCCGUAACUAUAACGGUCCUAAGGUAGCGAAAUUCCUUGUCGGGUAAGUUCCGACCCGCACGAAAGGCGUAACGAUUUGGGCACUGUCUCAACAACAGACUCGGUGAAAUUGUAAUUCCGGUGAAGAUGCCGGAUACCUGCGACAGGACGGAAAGACCCCAUGGAGCUUUACUGUAGCUUGACAUUGGGUCUUGGUACUACAUGUACAGGAUAGGUGGGAGGCUUUGAAACCAGGACGCCAGUUUUGGCGGAGCCAUCCUUGGGAUACCACCCUUGUAGUACUGGGACUCUAACCAUAGGCCAUGAAUCUGGUCUUGGGACACUGUCAGGUGGGCAGUUUGACUGGGGCGGUCGCCUCCCAAAAGGUAACGGAGGCGCUCAAAGGUUCUCUCAGUACGGUCGGAAAUCGUACGUAGAGUGUAAAGGCAAAAGAGAGCUUGAUUGCAAGACAUACAGGUCGAGCAAGGAUGAAAAUCGGACUUAGUGAUCCGGUGGUUCUGCGUGGAAGGGCCAUCGCUCAACGGAUAAAAGCUACCCUGGGGAUAACAGGCUUAUCUCCCCCAAGAGUCCACAUCGACGGGGAGGUUUGGCACCUCGAUGUCGGCUCAUCACAUCCUGGGGCUGUAGUAGGUCCCAAGGGUUGGGCUGUUCGCCCAUUAAAGUGGUACGCGAGCUGGG
RNAcentral lists this ribosomal RNA (1124 nucleotides) under Clostridioides difficile. Its description in RNAcentral is "bacterial LSU rRNA". It matches the Rfam family "Bacterial large subunit ribosomal RNA", at positions 1476 to 2609 of the family's 2925-position model. The record is from RNAcentral. Lineage: Bacteria; Bacillati; Bacillota; Clostridia; Peptostreptococcales; Peptostreptococcaceae.